AGAUUCGGAAUAAGAUCUUCUUUGCUCUCUUUUUCGAGUUCUUAUUUUUAUCAUUGUUAUUCUCGUGUUCUGAUUGCUUGACGUGUGGUAAUUAGCAGAUAUCCGGGUCCUCUGAGAAAUUAGGGUUUUCCUAGUUUCCUUAUUUAAACGGAAAUCGACAGUGCGAAUUUCGGUUCCCACAGAUCUGAAAUCCGGGCGCUGCUCUUGCUGGGUUUUUGGGAUGGGAACUUUAGGAAAGGCACUUUCGAGGCGAGGAACGUUACGAGAGAUCAGGGUGUGCCAAAGGAGUUGGAACUGCAGUGAAGUGUUCGAUAUGAACCGUUUUAUGCUUCGCCUCCACAAUUGUCAUCUCAAGUACUAUGUUCAGACUUUCCUAAACCCAUAUAUGUUGUUCUGUACAUAAAGCUUAUUAUCUUUAGUCCUAAGUUUCUUUCUCUUGAUUCAAAUAUAUGCUGAGUUCUUCGUUUACAUGGGCGUUGUUUGCAGAUGGUUAAUUCACAUAUGCCGUCUUACAUCGUUGCGAUUCCGAUCUGCGCUGCUAUACAGUUAGUUUGAAAAAUUAUGCGUAGUGAACACAGGAAGAUUAAUCUUGAAAAAUAUUGUGGUUAUAGUUUCUUCUUCUUAUUUUGCAAAAUUGGAUUCUGUGAUAUCAUGUUAGUACCUAAGAUAGCUGUUUGUGUACGUUUAGUCACUAUUAGGUCUACCUUUGAGUUUAACUUUUUAUUAGAAAAGAGUUUGUCAAAUGCAGCUGGGGAUUGCAGUUUAUGUAUUGAAUGUUACAUAUGAUGAUUUUGAAGGAUCAUUCUUGCAGGAAGCCAUCAAUAUUGCUGCUAAACUUUGGGUUCUUAAAUGCCUUAUUUAUGACUUAUGAGAUAAGUGACUCAUUUUAUGUCUGAUUCUUUUUCUGACUUGGUUGCGUAACGUAUAAGGUUAUGAGCCCAUCAUCGCCUACUGACAAGCUUCUUCUGGUACAAUCUCUGAGGAGAAGUGGCCAUGUUGUUGCAGCCACCGAAGAGGGGACAAAUGAUGGUCCUGCGUUGCAUGAGGCCAUCAAACGUAUAGUUCUUUGCGAGUAAAGUGAAGAAGAUUCUUAUGCUUGGAGGAGCUUUCUUUGCGUUACGGAAAGUCAAUCUCACAGAUGAAGCAAAUGUCCAACACCGCAAAACCUCUUCUUGAAUCUUUACAAAUGAUUAAGAAAUGCAGGUUUCAUGUUUUGUGGGUUUUUUCUUAUUGUGACGUGGAAGUAGCUGCUGUUUUGUUGACGUAAGAAUCUGUAUCACCACCCAACUUAAACUAACAGACAGCUUAUCGUUGCGUGACUCCAAGGAAAACAAGCGAGAUUGUUGAGUGACAUGAAAAUUCUACUGAGACUGGCAUGUUAAAUCUGACGUUUAUGGUAAAGCAAGAAAUAAUUUUGUGGCAUAUGAGAUUUUGACGUGGCAUAUAUAGCAGUCCGGUAUUUAUAAGGAGGAUGCACAUGGUUUGCGCCUAUCUUCCUAACAUUUGUUAUGAUUUUUCUUAAAUUGUGAAAUAAUCUAAUAUCAGUUACACUUUCUCUAUAGAAAAUACAAUUAUUCGCUUAUCUUACUGCAAUUUUUUAGGUGAAUUUAUUAGAGAAUAGUAUCACACAAUCCUUUUUCUUUGUCAUACUCAUAUGUCGUUUUUGUUAACACUACUUUUUGUUGAUAAUAAAUUACUGUUGUUAAUGAUGCCGGUUUUUUUCUUAAAGAAAGGUCUAUAUCUCAUCUGGUUUUGUUCCAUAUAAACUUGAAAUUAGGUAAACUUCUUAUGAGGUACUUAUUUAUGAAGAAGAGUCAGGUCUUUGUGUUUAGUAAAUUGCAUAGGGUGUGGUUUGUAUGAUAUAUCAAGUUCUAGAGGGUGAAUUGCGUACAAAAAUGUUUAUUUUGGUUUGGGUCUAAUUUGUAAUGUUGUUUCUGAUCAUAAACCAGUUUGAGAAAAUAGUAUUUGUCGGUUUGUCGUAUUCGUAUGGUAAAUAUAUUUUUACGGUUCUUUCGGUUUGCAAAUAAAAAUAAUUGUAGUUUUUUUAAGUGUACUUCUGUGUUCAUCUAACAAUUCAGGAUCCAAAACAACUAACAUCAAUUGACUGUUUAGAAACUUAUUUAUACUUUAGAAAAAUCACAUACACGUCACUAAUUUCAAUAUUUUUAUUUUCAUAUAAUGGGGACUAUACGACACCAACUAAAUUGAGAACUUUAGAAAUAAAAUCACAAUGAUGUUAAAAAGUGUCUAAAAACGAUUAAACUCUGUACUCAUUUAUUUAGUGUUCUCUUUUAUUUGUCAAAAGAUAGUUUUUAGAAUAAAAAAGUAAAUUCUUUCAAAUAGAGAAAGAUCAACUAAUAAAAUAUAUCUUAAAACAUUUCGAGUUCUAAAUCAUAAAUAUAAAAAAAAUUAAUGAAAAGUAAUCUCUCAUAUAUAUAUAUAUAAAGGUUUAUUUUGAAAUUCGUAAGAUAUAAUAAAAGAUGUAACACUAUCAAUUAAAAAAUACAGUAAAAACACGACCAAUAACAUAUGUCAAUAAAUAUUAUAAUUUU
This is a long non-coding RNA of Brassica rapa (field mustard), 2552 nucleotides long. RefSeq lists it as uncharacterized. The record is from RefSeq and is a predicted model, not a curated record. Lineage: Eukaryota; Viridiplantae; Streptophyta; Magnoliopsida; Brassicales; Brassicaceae.